GACGAACGCUGGCGGCACGCCUAACACAUGCAAGUCGAACGGACUUAAAAGAGCUUGCUUUUUUAAGUUAGUGGCGGACGGGUGAGUAACACGUGAGCAACCUGCCUCUGAGAGGGGGAUAGCUUCUGGAAACGGAUGGUAAUACCCCAUAAAAUAUAAAUAUCGCAUGAUAGAUAUAUCAAAGAAAUUCGCUCAGAGAAGGGCUCGCGUCUGAUUAGAUAGUUGGUGAGGUAACGGCUCACCAAGUCGACGAUCAGUAGCCGGACUGAGAGGUUGAACGGCCACAUUGGGACUGAGACACGGCCCAGACUCCUACGGGAGGCAGCAGUGGGGAAUAUUGCACAAUGGAGGGAACUCUGAUGCAGCGAUGCCGCGUGGAGGAAGAAGGUUUUCGGAUUGUAAACUCCUUUUAUCAGGGACGAUAAUGACGGUACCUGAAGAAAAAGCUCCGGCUAACUACGU
RNAcentral lists this ribosomal RNA (462 nucleotides) under uncultured bacterium. RNAcentral describes it as "partial 16S ribosomal RNA". It matches the Rfam family "Bacterial small subunit ribosomal RNA", at positions 28 to 506 of the family's 1533-position model. The record is from RNAcentral.